UACGUAGGGUGCGAGCGUUAAUCGGAUUUACUGGGCGUAAAGAGCGCGCAGGCGGUCGAUCAAGUCGAGUGUGAAAGCCCUGGGCUCAACCUAGGAAGUGCAUUCGAAACUUCCGAGCUGGAGUGCUGGAGAGGAAGGCGGAAUUCUCGGUGUAGAGGUGAAAUUCGUAGAUAUCGAGAGGAACACCGGUGGCGAAGGCGGCCUUCUGGACAGCCACUGACGCUGAGACGCGAAAGCGUGGGGAGCAAACAGG
Molecule: ribosomal RNA, 253 nt
Filed under: uncultured bacterium
Lineage: Bacteria
Description: partial 16S ribosomal RNA
Rfam family: Bacterial small subunit ribosomal RNA
Source: RNAcentral